UGGGGAAUUUUCCGCAAUGGGCGAAAGCCUGACGGAGCAAUACCGCGUGAGGGAAGACGGCCUAUGGGUUGUAAACCUCUUUUCUCAGGGAGGAACUCAAUGACGUUACCUGAGGAAUAAGCAUCGGCUAACUCCGUGCCAGCAGCCGCGGUAAGACGGAGGAUGCAAGUGUUAUCCGGAAUCACUGGGCGUAAAGCGUCUGUAGGUGGCUUAACAAGUCAACUGUUAAAUCUUGAAGCUCAACUUCGAAAUCGCAGUCGAAACUGUUAGGCUAGAGUAUAGUAGGGGUAAAGGGAAUUUCCAGUGGAGCGGUGAAAUGCGUAGAGAUUGGAAAGAACACCGAUGGCGAAGGCACUUUACUGGGCUAUUACUGACACUCAGAGACGAAAGCUAGGGUAGCAAAUGGGAUUAGAUACACCAGUGUAGUC
Molecule: ribosomal RNA, 428 nt
Filed under: uncultured bacterium
Lineage: Bacteria
Description: bacterial SSU rRNA
Rfam family: Bacterial small subunit ribosomal RNA
Source: RNAcentral